Molecule: ribosomal RNA, 253 nt
Filed under: uncultured bacterium
Lineage: Bacteria
Description: partial 16S ribosomal RNA
Rfam family: Bacterial small subunit ribosomal RNA
Source: RNAcentral
UACGUAGGGGGCAAGCGUUGUCCGGAAUCAUUGGGCGUAAAGAGCGUGUAGGCGGUUCGGUAAGUCGGCUGUGAAAGUCCAGGGCUCAACCCUGGGAUGCCGGUCGAUACUGCCGGACUAGAGUUCGGAAGAGGCGAGUGGAAUUCCCGGUGUAGCGGUGAAAUGCGCAGAUAUCGGGAGGAACACCUAUGGCGAAGGCAGCUCGCUGGGACGUUACUGACGCUGAGGCGCGAAAGCAUGGGGAGCGAACAGG